RNAcentral lists this transfer RNA (65 nucleotides) under bacteria symbiont BFo2 of Frankliniella occidentalis. It matches the Rfam family "tRNA", at positions 9 to 71 of the family's 71-position model. From Rfam's summary of the family: Transfer RNA (tRNA) molecules are approximately 80 nucleotides in length. Their secondary structure includes four short double-helical elements and three loops (D, anti-codon, and T loops). Further hydrogen bonds mediate the characteristic L-shaped molecular structure. tRNAs have two regions of fundamental functional importance: the anti-codon, which is responsible for specific mRNA codon recognition, and the 3' end, to which the tRNAs corresponding amino acid is attached (by aminoacyl-tRNA synthetases). tRNAs cope with the degeneracy of the genetic code in two manners: having more than one tRNA (with a specific anti-codon) for a particular amino acid; and 'wobble' base-pairing, i.e. permitting non-standard base-pairing at the 3rd anti-codon position. Lineage: Bacteria; Pseudomonadati; Pseudomonadota; Gammaproteobacteria; Enterobacterales. The record is from Rfam by way of RNAcentral.
AGCUCAGUUGGUAGAGCACGACCUUGCCAAGGUCGGGGUCGCGAGUUCGAAUCUCGUUUCCCGCU